Molecule: ribosomal RNA, 253 nt
Filed under: uncultured bacterium
Lineage: Bacteria
Description: partial 16S ribosomal RNA
Rfam family: Bacterial small subunit ribosomal RNA
Source: RNAcentral
UACGUAGGGUCCGAGCGUUGUCCGGAAUUACUGGGCGUAAAGAGCUCGUAGGUGGUUUGUCGCGUUGUUCGUGAAAACUCACAGCUCAACUGUGGGCGUGCGGGCGAUACGGGCAGACUGGAGUACUGCAGGGGAGACUGGAAUUCCUGGUGUAGCGGUGGAAUGCGUAGAUAUCAGGAGGAACACCGGUGGCGAAGGCGGAUCUCUGGACCAGUUCUGACACUGAUGAGCGAAAGCCAGGGGAGCAAACAGG